GGCCUCGUAACUCAGUUGGCUAGAGCGUUGGCUGUACUAAAGCCUUCCCCUUGCUUGCAUGGGUUCGAAUCCCACCGAGGCCG
RNAcentral lists this transfer RNA (83 nucleotides) under Schistocephalus solidus. It matches the Rfam family "tRNA". Rfam says of the family: Transfer RNA (tRNA) molecules are approximately 80 nucleotides in length. Their secondary structure includes four short double-helical elements and three loops (D, anti-codon, and T loops). Lineage: Eukaryota; Metazoa; Platyhelminthes; Cestoda; Diphyllobothriidea; Diphyllobothriidae. The record is from Rfam by way of RNAcentral.